This 366-nucleotide ribosomal RNA is filed under the name uncultured bacterium. RNAcentral's name for it is "bacterial SSU rRNA". It matches the Rfam family "Bacterial small subunit ribosomal RNA", at positions 29 to 383 of the family's 1533-position model. The record is from RNAcentral.
AACGAACGCUGGCGGCGCGCCUAAUACAUGCAAGUCGAGCGAGAAGACGUAGCAAUACGUUUGUAAAGCGGCGAACGGGUGAGGAAUACAUGGGUAACCUACCCUCGAGUGGGGAAGUAACUAGCCGAAAGGUUAGCUAAUACCGCGUACGCUCCUUGGACUUCGGUUUCAGGGAGGAAAGCGAUACCGUGGGUAUCGCGCUCUUGGAUGGGCUCAUGUCCUAUCAGCUUGUUGGGAGGUAACGGCUCACCAAGGCUUCGACGGGUAGCUGGUCUGAGAGGACGAUCAGCCACACUGGCACUGUGACACGGGCCAGACUCCCUACGGGAGGCAGCAGUAAGGAAUAUUGCGCAAUGGGCGAAAGCC